This 407-nucleotide ribosomal RNA is filed under the name uncultured bacterium. RNAcentral's name for it is "partial 16S ribosomal RNA". It matches the Rfam family "Bacterial small subunit ribosomal RNA", at positions 28 to 526 of the family's 1533-position model. The record is from RNAcentral.
GACGAACGCUGGCGGCGUGCCUAAUACAUGCAAGUAGAACGCAGUUGCGAACGGGUGAGUAACGCGUAGGUAACUGCCUCAUAGCGGGGGACAAAUAUUGGAAACGAUAGCUAAUACCGCAUACUGCGAGAUGGACCUGCGUUGUAUUAGCUGGUUGGUGAGGUAAAGGCUCACCAAGGCGACGAUACAUUGCCGACCUGAGAGGGGGAUCGGCCACACUGGGGAUGGGGCACGGCCCAGACUCCUACGGGGGGCAGCAGUAGGGAAUCUUCGGCAAUGGACGGAAGUCUGACCGGGCAACGCCGCGUGAGUGAAGAAGGUUUUCGGGUCGUAAAACUCUGUUGUUAGGGAAACGGUAACUAACCAGAAAGGGACGGCUAACUACGUGCCAGCAGCCGCGGUAAUAC